UUGAAUGAAUGUAGAGUUUGGUUGUAGCUGGUCUUCCAAAGGCAUGUGCACACCAUUCUCUUUCAUCCACACACCCCUGUGCACUUGUAAGACGGAGGCUGUUCUCUUUUAUUAGAGACGUUUCCGUCUGCUAACACAUAAAAUCAUAUAAUUAAAUUUGAAUGUAAUUGAUGUAACGCAUCUAAUAC
Molecule: unclassified non-coding RNA, 188 nt
Filed under: uncultured fungus
Lineage: Eukaryota; Fungi
Description: sequence contains ITS1, 5.8S rRNA gene
Source: RNAcentral